UUCAAAAUUAUUAGUAUAAAUUAGUUUAAUAAGAAAAGUGAUGACUCUUGUGAGUCACUGUAUACUUCAUAUAUCUGCUUUGUGAUUUUAGUAUGUAUUCCUUGAAUAUAAGUGAAUUAUUUGGAUUUCAAAUAAAAAUUCAGUAGGUUCUUGCAUGUUAUCGCUCUCUGUAUAGAACAAGAAAAACAGUUUUUGAAGGAGAUGUACAUGCACUUCAAAUAUCAGCAAAGAAAUUACGAGAUGAAUUUAGAAAAAAUAUUUCAGUAAAUGAUCCUAAAAGAAUUGAAGAGUUGCUUGAGGUUGGGCAGAAUGUUGAAAGUUUGCUGAAAAAGCAUGUUGUGCAAUUACGUUUGAAUGAUAAAGGAAAUUAUGGUAAGAAAAAUGCUCUAAAUAUAUAAUUUUUUACAUUGUAUAUAUUGUUUUAUAUGUGAAAUGAAUGUAACACAUAACUUUACUGUUAUUUAUUUAGUCAUAUAAUUUUUUAAUUUAUAAUUGGUUGUUAUUCCACUUAAUACUGGAUAAUUUGUUAGUUUUAUAUUCAUUUUUAUCAUGUUAAUUUAUAUUUCUAAAUUAAUAUUCUUUACAAUUAAAAUAUCUUGGUCAUAAGUGAAGCUGAGAACAAUAUAAGUUACAAAGUAACACAAAAGUUCAUUUACAUUUUGUGUAUUCAUUUCUCACAUUUGAUUGAAUGACAGAACACUUUGAAACAGAUUUAAUUUUGGCAUACAAAGAGAGCAAAUAAAAAAAAUAUAUAUAAAUCAUGAAUUAUCUUUAAGUUUACACAAUUACAUAACAACAGUAUUUUUUUAAACAUUCAUGUAUAAAAUUAAAAAUUCUAUUAAGGUUUUGCUUAUAUUAGUUUUACAUGUAAUCAAAAAUUUAUUGUUUUUCAAUUAAAUGAAAGUAAAAAAAUCACCAGUUAUUUAGUAUUAAAAUAUAAGCCUACCCAUUUAAUCAAACAAAGUUCCACAUGUGAAUUGUGAAAGAAUACUUUGUCAACAAAGAUGAGAACAGUAACAGUACAAUAAAUUUUAUGAAUUUUGAUUUAGGUGAGGAUUAGUACUUUGAAAAGAAUUCUGGAAAGUUUAAAAAGAAUUUACUGGGGUGACUUUUUAAAACAAUACAAAUUUAAAAAAGAUUAAAGAAAUUUUAAUUAUACUCAUAAAACUUUGAUUUUAUAACAAUAUAAGUUACCCUAACUAACUAUUUUUCCAGAGAUCAACCUGAAAAACUCUGAUUCUUAACUCUUAAGUAUUUUUGAGCUUAUCCAGUUUAUCUUCAGGGGCUCUUUUGUUUUAAUUUUCUCUGUGAAUAUUUUCAUGAUGAUGAAUUAAAAAUUGUGAUUGUAAAUGUAACAUCAAUUCCAGUUGACAAUGAUGAUAAUUUUCAAUUGAAUGCAUUUAUAAAUUAUUUAUUACUGUAAUGGAUGAAUUAUUUGGUAUUCUUGAAACUAUUUUUCCAUGUUGAGCUGAUUUGUAUUUUGUGACUUUUAUAUAUUUCAUUUUUAUUUUAUUAAAAUUAGAAAAGUAAAUUAUUUACAAAUUAUGUUAUUAUUUAGCAUACUCAUUAUGACUGAAAAGAUUUCUUGAUAUGGUCAUACUUCAAAAUGAUUGUUUUUAAGGAUUCUUUUUUGCCUUAAAUAUCAUGCAUGAGAAGAAAAAUAAUCAUUUUCUAUAGAUGUUAGAAAAAUUGAGAUAAUUUUCAUGUUUUUUUUUGACUGAUUUGAAAACCUUUCAUGAAUAUGACCAAAAAAACUUUAAAAAAAUGUCUUUCUGUCAAAUCUAAGAUGAAAUGAAAUAAAUUUCAUUAAUUAUAUUGUCAUUAAUAUCACUAUAAGUUGUAAAAUUUUGUCGGAUGACAAUUUUACAAAAAUUAAUUUGAAGAUGUAGUCUGUCCGAAAUUGGUAACCACCAUUUAUUCACUUCUUGUGUUCCAGAAUACAAACAAUUGACGAUCUGACCUUUUUUUUGUAUGCUGCUUCACCAUCAAGUUUAAAAACAUUCCUUUAAAAAACAGAAAAAUAUCCAAUUAAAAUUACAAAGUGAAAAUUGGAACUGGCAGAUCUUACAGACAUCAUUUUUCUUUCCAUCCUUACCCUUAAAUACUACUUUAAGUUUUAAAAUGUUAUUACAGUAUAUUAUAAUUUAAUUUAAUGUCAUCUUUAAAAGUAGGCAACUUUGAUAAGCUUUAAUGUUUUAUAUUGAACAGCUGAUGAAAAUUUGACAAGCUAUUUGGGAUUAGACAUAUCUGAACAGAAAAAGUGAUAAAUCAUCAAACUAGUUUUUUUCAUUUUUUAAAAUAAUUUUUAAGUAUUU
Molecule: unclassified non-coding RNA, 2315 nt
Filed under: Centruroides sculpturatus (bark scorpion)
Lineage: Eukaryota; Metazoa; Arthropoda; Arachnida; Scorpiones; Buthidae
Description: complex III assembly factor LYRM7-like, transcript variant X2
Source: RNAcentral